RNAcentral lists this unclassified non-coding RNA (196 nucleotides) under uncultured bacterium. Its description in RNAcentral is "16S-23S ribosomal RNA intergenic spacer". The record is from RNAcentral.
UAGGGAUGCCGGAGCUCUUACUCCGGCGGGCGCCGGUCCCCUUGAUGGCUUUUGCCGUCGGGAUCAGCCGGCUCGCCUGGAAAUACGUCGACCUCGACGAUCCACGAACGUACGCUGUUGAGUUUUGAAGGACUGGGCGCUCGAGCCCGCGCGGACCUUGAAAACUCCAUAGCGACAUCUAUACCGGUGUUCUUCU